CAGGUGCCUUGCCCAGCGAUGGUCCGGGUCAAACGGGAACGGGGUAGGCCGGCCUGGCUUGGAUGCCAGGCCGGCCGUAAUCCCCGGCUGCCCCCGCAACGGUAGGCGAGUGCGGGUGCGUCCACGGCGCUCGAACCAUCGAGCGCCAGCCACUGAACGGUUGCGUGGCGUCGUCGCCGAGACGACGCGCGCGGACCGCUUGGGAAGGCGAUGCACCAAGACUCGCGAGCCCGGAUACCGGCCUG
Molecule: regulatory RNA element, 245 nt
Organism: Methylibium petroleiphilum PM1
Lineage: Bacteria; Pseudomonadati; Pseudomonadota; Betaproteobacteria; Burkholderiales; Sphaerotilaceae
Source: Rfam